This 498-nucleotide ribosomal RNA is filed under the name uncultured bacterium. RNAcentral's name for it is "partial 16S ribosomal RNA". It matches the Rfam family "Bacterial small subunit ribosomal RNA", at positions 30 to 523 of the family's 1533-position model. The record is from RNAcentral.
AUUGAACGCUGGCGGCAUGCCUUACACAUGCAAGUCGAACGGUAACAGGUCUUCGGAUGCUGACGAGUGGCGAACGGGUGAGUAAUACAUCGGAACGUGCCUAGUAGUGGGGGAUAACUACUCGAAAGAGUGGCUAAUACCGCAUGAGAUCUACGGAUGAGAGCAGGGGAUCGCAAGACCUUGUGCUACUAGCGCGGCCGAUGGCAGAUUAGGUAGUUGGUGGGAUCAAAGCUUACCAAGCCGACGAGCUGUAGCUGGUCUGAGAGGACGAUGCGCCACACUGGGACUGAGACACAGCCGAGACUCCGACGGGAGACAGUAUUGGGGAAUUUUGGAGAAUGGGCGCAAGGAUGAUCCUGCAAUGGAGCGAGCAGGAUGGAGGCCUUCAAGUUGUAGACUGCUUAUGUACGGAACGAAAAGCCCAGGGUUAAUACUCUGGGUUCCUGGUGGUAUCGUAACAAUAAGCACCGGCUAACUACGAGCCAGCAGCCGCCGUAA